GCAGGCUCCCUGCACAUCAACUGGCAGUUGGAGGACACCAGAUGCAGCUGGGUUGGUUUUCUAGACCGGAGGUGGACAGAUUCCAGGUAGAGGUGGGUGGGAGCUGCUCUCCUUCUGCCCAGAGCAGGGGCCAGUGACUAUGAGGCGAGUGGUGCUGACCUCUCAGGGCUGCUGCCCACUGUGAUGGCAGCUGAGCACUCAGCAGCCCAUUGUGUGCUGUGUGUAUACAGUUGUCUCAUAAUUCCUCCCAGUGACCCGGUGGGGAGGAUGAGAACCUGUCCCUGGUGUGAGUCUGUGCUGGGAGAUGGGUUGUGGGUGGGUGAUCAGGUCAGCGCUUACAGCUGGGGCAGCUUGUUCUGCUGUGGAUGCACCAGAGAUGUGGACACUCUGUCUGGGAGUUGGCUGAGGAGGCUCCUUCCUUCUGUCCCCUCCGGGUAGAGGGACAGGGGCUGCCCCCGCUAGCCUGCCUUGUGUCCGCGUCUCCUGGACCAGAUCGCUCUUGGUUUCUGAGUACUGGGUGCUGCUGGUCUGGCUGUGAAGUCAUUUCUCACUGUGAUUAGAGGGCCAGAAGCCUAAGGGAGCCAGCCUGUGGUUCUCGGCAGGUGUGUCAUGCUUGCAUCUUGGUGUUGCAGCUUGGAAAUUGGAAGCCCUUGAGAUUCUGGUGGCCUCGGAGUGAGCAGUGACCAUUAGCUAGUAUCUGUAUAGGUGUAGGCCUGGCAGCUGCCUGGAGGAGGCAGGUUUCAGCCUCAUGUGCUGCUGCCCUGGUCACAGUGUCUGGACUCCUUCAGUCUGCAAGAGAGGUCAGAGCUGUCCUGUUUCCUGCUGGGGCCUUGGUCUGCCACCCAGGUCCCAUGGGGGCUGCAGGGUUGCUGGUGAUGCCCUGAGAAGAGAAAGACGAGCCGCCCUGCCCCUUGGCAGGCAGGCUGAGGACCCACACUUCAGUGAGCCGUCUGCACCACCUCAUCUCAGGACAGGUGAGUGCCCCAUCGCCAUCUGACAGGGGUGUGAAGUCUGUGUCCUCAAGCGCAGGUAAGUUGAAUGCUGCAACUUCAGGUUGUGGAAUGUGGAACACCCUGUCUGCACUGGAUGGAAGCGAACGCCAUGUCCUCUCCUAAAUGAAGGUACUGUUGUCAGGUGGGAGGUGUGAAUACAAUUUCACCUGAUGGAAGGCUGAAUGCGAUUUUACCAAAUGACAGUCAUGUUAACAUCCUGCUUUCCCAUGAAUGCCCUGAACUGAUUUGAUGGAAGGGUGAAUGCACUAUUCUUCACUGGUGGAAGGAUAAUCACAUUGUGCUCAUUUGAGGUGUGUUGAAUGCCUUCUCACCCGAUGGAAAAUUCAGGCCCAGGUACUGACUCCAUAGUAAGUGGAAGGUUGUGUCUGCAUGUGGGACAGAGUGAAGGCCCUGUCUUCACAUCAUGACAGGCUGAAUGCAAAUCAUCAAGGGAUGGUGGAGUGAAGGCCCUGUCUUCAGUGAUGAAAAGGAGAACUCCAUCCCCUCACAUGAGGGCAGCUUGAAUGCUGUGUCCUCAUCAAAAGGAAGGGGAAGGCUGUGUGCACAAAGGAAAGAAGAGAAAAGGUCUGGUCCUCACUGUCAGGGGUGUGAAUUCCAUUUCCUCUCCUGAUGGAAAGAAGAACGUCUUUUCCUCACCUGAAAGAAGGGCGGGCAGCCCCUUUGGAUGUGUCAGUGUGAUGAAUGUCAUGUCCUCACGUGGUGAUACGGUGAAGAUCAUGUCCCCACGUGAAGGGGUGGUGAUUGUCCUGUCCUGAAUGCCUUGUUCUCGGCAGAAGGAAGUGCGUUCACUGGAGCUCAUCAUUCACUGAUAGUGAAUGCCGUCUCCUCACCUAAUGGAACGCUAAAGUCUGUGUCAUCACUGGACAGAGGGCAAACACUGUGCUCUCACCUUACAGAAUCUGAGUGCCCUCUCCUCACACAGGGAAGAGUGGACACAAUGUCCACUUCAGACUGAAGACUUCUCCCCCAGACUCUGUUGAAGAAUGCCAAAGCCUCUCCUCAUCUGACAGAAGUAUGAAGGCCAUGCCCUAAUGUGAGAGCACGUGUGUCUUCACAUGAAAGGGUUAAGCUUCUUUUCCCAGGCGAAGUAAGGAUGAAUGCGGUGUCCCCAGGCAACUGCAGGGUGAAUGUCCUGUCUUCCUGAUGGAAGAGUGAAUGCCCUGUGCUAAUGUGUUGGAAUGGAUAAGGGAGUACUGUCACGUGAGUAUCGUGUGAAUGCAGGAUCCUUGCAUGAUGAUAGUGUGAAGGCUGCUGCAUCACAUGUUGGAAGGGUGAAUGCCCUGCCCCCAGCCAUGGAGAGGUGAGCCCUGUGCCCUCGCAGGAGAGAAGCUGGAAUCCUCUAUUCACAUUGAAUGAGAAUGUGAAAGCCUUAAAUACAACUCAUGGACCCGUGAAGGCCCUGCCUCACCUGUUAGAAGGGUGAAAACUCUGUACUGAGCUGAUGGAGGGGGAAUGUCUUUCUGUCAUCUCAGGAGAGGGAGGACACUCUCAUCUCGUGUGCCCAUAGAGUGUAAGCUAUGGCUUUAUGUGAUGACAGAGUGAAAGUCACAUCUUCAUGUGAGGGAACGGUGGGUGUUCCGUCUCUGCUGAGGGAAGCGAUGAUGCCAUGUCCUCCCCUGUCAUAAGUGUGGAUGCCACUUCAUUGUAUGCUGGUAGAAUUAAAGUCCUGUUCUCACCUGAUGGAAGGACAAAUGCCCCAAUGUGUGGUGACAGGUAAGGAAUCAUUUGUUCACUCCUAUGGGAACGUGAGUACCUUUUCCUCAACCAAAGAAAGGGUGAAGUCUGUGUUCUCACUGUACAGAGGUCCCUCUCCAAGGGAUAUAUGAACACCCUAUUCCCAACAACUGAAGGAUUAUCACUACAUACUCCCAUAAUGGGAGUCCAAAGCCUUCUUUCCUGAAUGAAGAGCAAAGGCCAUGUGCUAACUUGGAAUGAGGGUGAAUACCAUGUCUUCACAUGAUGAUAGGAUGAAGGUUCUGUUCUCAUGGAUAAAGGGGUGAAUCUGAAGUCCUCAGAUUGUGGUAGUGUGAAUACUCUAUUCUUUCCUGAUGGUAUAUGGAGUAACUAUGCUACUGUGUUGGAUGUCUGAGGGACAUAUUCCCAUAUGAAUGCAGGGUCCUUACAUGAUGAUGGGGUGAAGGUCGUGUCAUCAAGUGACGGAAGGGUGAAUGCGCUAUUCUUCACCGGUGGAAGGAUAAUCACGUUGUGCUCAUGUGAGGUGUGUUAAAUUCCUUCUCACCCGAUGGAAAAUUCAGGCCCAGGUACUGACUCCAUAGUAAGUGGAAGGUUGUGUCUGCAUGUGGGACAGAGUGAGGGCCCUGUCUUCACAUCAUGACAGGCUGAAUGCAAAUCAUCAAGGGAUGGUGGAGUGAAGGCCCUGUCUUCAGUGAUGAAAAGGAGAACUCCAUCCCCUCACAUGAGGGCAGCUUGAAUGCUGCGUCCUCAUCAAAAGGAAGGGGAAGGCUGUGUGCACAAAGGAAAGAAAAGGUCUGGUCCUCACUGUCAGGAGUGUGAAUUCCAUUUCCUGUCCUGAUGGAAGGAAGAAUGUCUUUUCUUCAACUGAGGGAAGGGUGGACAGCCCCAUUAGAUAUGUCAGUAGGAUGAAUGUCAUGUCCUCCCGUGGUGAUUUGGUGAAGAUCAUGUCCCCACUUGAAGGAGUGAUGAUUGUCCUGUCCUCACCAGAGGGAAGGGAGAAAGGCUUGUUCCUAUGUGAGAGAAGGGUGGGUGCCAUUUUGUCUUGUCAUAGUAGCACUAAUGCUCUGUCCUCCAUGAUGGAACUUUGAACACCCUGUGCUUAUCGGGUGGAAUGAUGAAUGUGCUUUACAAUCCUGAGGAAAGAGUAAAGGUCUGUCUUCAUGAGAGAAGACUGAAUGCCCUAUUCUUGGCAGAAGGAAGUGCAUUCACUGGAACUCUCACGCGAGGUAGUGAAUGUCGUCUCCUCACCUAAUGGAACGCUGAAGUCUGUGUCAUCACUGGACAGAGAGCAAACACUGUGCUCUCACCUUACAGAAUCUGAAUGCCCCCUCCCCACACAGGGAAGAGUGGACACAAUGUCUACUCCAGCCUGAAGACCUCUCCCCCAGUAUUCCACUGAAGAAUGCCAAAUUCCUUCUCUCAGCUGACAGAAUGUGAAGUCAGAGUUUUAAUGUGAGAGUAAACUGAAUAGAGUGUCCUCAUGUGAAGAUGGCAAGAAGUUCUUGUCUUCACUGACGGAAGGUGAUUCAUGUGUUUUCAGGUGAGGGCUGGGUGACCGCAGGGCUCUCACAUCUUAAUAGGCUGAAGAUCGUGUUGUCAUCUGAUGGAAUGAGGAAUGCCCUGUCCUCAGUCAUGGAGAAGUGAACCCUGUCAUCUCCCAUAUCAGAGGUUUGAAUGUGGUGCCCUCGUUGAAUGGGAAAAUGAAUGGCCUGUCUGUGCCUGUCACAUGAAGGAGGGUCCUGUCCCAACUAGGGGAGGUAUGAACACAUUUUCCUUACCAUGUCAAGGGGUGAGCUCUUUGUUCUUAGUUGAUGCAAGCCAAUUGUCCUUCCUCACCUGAGGGGGGUCAGACACCUUCAUCUUUUGUGUCAGCAUAGUGAAUUUUCUGUCCUCAACUGAGAGCAGGAAUAAUGCCUUGUUCACACAUAUGCUAAGGGCAAAUGGCAUGUCUUCACCUGACAGAAGUGGGAACACCGUUUCUUCCUGGGAUGGUAAGUGCUAAUACCCAGUCCUCUCUCAAUGGAAUGUUAAAUGCCAUGUCUUCAGCUGGUGGAAUGGGGAAUACUGUUUCCCACCCUGAUGGAAGAGUAAACAUGCCGCCUUCACCCGAGGCGGUGGAAGGGCAUUCACUCGAAAUCUUCUUUGUGAUAGAGACUGCAAUUUUUUUCACCUAAUGAAAGGAUGAAGAGAGUUUGUCACAUGAAUGGUGGGGGAAUGCUGGACCCUCAAAUGAAAACAGGGUAAAGGCCAUGUUGUCAUGUGUCAGAAGAGUGAAUUCCCUGUCCUCAGCCAUGGAAAGAAGCGCUGUGCCUUCCUAAAUGACAGAAGUUUGAAUUCUGUGUCUUCAUUAAAUGGGAAGAUGCAUUUCCUGACCUCCUGGUGUACACAUGAAGGUCCUAUCUUCAGCUGAUGCAAGCCUGAAUGCAGUUUCUUCCCGUGGUAUAAAGAUGAACCAUGUGUACUCAACCGCUGGAAAGGGGAAUGUUCUUUCCUCACAUGAUGAAAGUGUUGACACCCUGAUCUCAAGUUUUGGGUGAGUGAAUGAGGUGUUUUCUAAUGUGGUGACACGGUAAAAGUAAUGUCUUCAUAUGCAAGAAGAGAGAAUGUCCUGUCUGCAUGGAAAGGAUGGAGAAUGCUUUAAUCACACAUGGGGACUUGGUAACUGCCAUGUCCUCACGUGACAGAAGUAUGAAUACCAUUUAAUCUUGCGAUGGUAGGGUUAAUGCCCUGUUCUCACAUCAAACAGGAAAAGUAAGUCACAAGGUGGAAGUGUGAAUGUUGUUUGAAAUUCUGAGGGAAGUGCAAAUAUACUGCCCUCACCUGAGGGGAGGGUGAAUUCUUUACUAUCUGCUGAUGGAAGGGUAAUCACUUGUAUUCACCUGGGGGAUGGUAAAGUCCCCUCAAUCCCCCUCAGCUUCAAGAUUGAAGUCUAUGUUCUCAUUGCAAAAACACCACGAUCACAAGUUACAGAAUGUUGAAGGCCUUUUCUCAGAGAGGGAAGUGAGAACACCCUAUCCUCUACUGAUGGAAGAAUUGUCACCCACCACAAAACUGCUAGAAAUCCAAAUGCCUUCCUCUCAUCAGACGGAUGGAUGAGCACCACAUCCUAACAUGAGCAAGGUGAAUGCAUGUUCUCAUGUCAAUACAGGGUGAAGGUCCUGUCCUCUGUGAUAGAAUAUGAUGUGUGGUCCUUAGGUGAUGGUAGAAUGAAUGCAUUAUCCUCUGGUCAUGGAAGGUUGAAUGCCCUGUGAUUGAAGGAUGAAGGACAUUUUGUCAUGUGGGUGACUGAUGAAUAGAGUCUUCAUGUGAUGACAGAAUGAAGAACAGAUGGUCUUAUUAUGCAACAGUGUCUACAGCCAUGGAGAGGCAAACCCUGUGCACUCACAUGAUGAAAGUUUGAAUGCUGUGUCGUCACUGUAGCAUCAUGAAGAUGGGUGAUUUAUUCACACUUGAUGGAAGAGUGAAGGUCUUUCUUUCAACAGGAGCUUGCAUGAACUUUCAACACUUUAUGGAUGUGUGAAUUCUGUGUACUCAUAUGAUGAAAGUACAGUGUUCUUUCCUCACCUCAAGGAAGAAUGGACACCUCAUCUCUUGGGUAAGUAGGUUGAGAGUUGUGUCCUCAAGUGGUGAAGGGGCAAAAGUCAUGUCUCCAAAGGAAGAAAUGGUUAAUGUCCUGUCUUCAGCCAAAGGAAGAGGAAUGCCUUGCUCAUACAUGAGCAAAGGGUGAAUGCUUUGUCCUCCCCUGGCAGAAGUGUGAAUGUCAUUUCAUCUUGUGACUGUAUUGUUAACAUGAAGGAAGGGUGGAUGGCAUGUGUUUACUUGGUGGAAUGGUGAGUAACCUUUCCAAUCCUGAGGGAAGAAUAAAUAGCUGUCUUCAUUUGAUGGAAAGAUAGAAGUCCUAUUUUCUGCUGAUAGAAGUGCAAUCAGUUGUACACUCUUGUGGGAAUGUGACCUUGCUGGACAGAAAGGCAAACACCAUUUUCUCAUCUUGCUGAAUUUGAAUGCCUUCUCAUUCAGAGAUGUGUGAAAACUCUGUCCUCUAUUGACUGAAUGACUACCAUCCAGUACCCACCUGAUGGAAGACUGAAUACCUUCUCUUCACCUUAAGGCAAGUUGAAGUCCAUGUCCUAAUGUGGCAGUAAGGUGAACUCUGUGUCCUCAGGUGAAGAUAGGGUGAAGGCCCUGUCCUCAAGUAAUGGAAUGCAGAGUCCUCGGGUGAUGGUAGGGUGAAUUCUCUCUCUUUUCCUGAUGGGAAGUUGAAUGCCCUGUGCUCAUUUGAUGGAAGAGUGAAGUAUAAAUUAUCAUGGGCGUGUCAAGUGAAUGCAGAGACCUCACACUAUGAGAGGGUGAAGGACUUGCUAUCAUGUAAGUGAAGAGUGAGUUUCCAGUCCUCAGAUGUGGAGAGGUGGACCCAUACCCUCACAUGACAGAAGUUUGAAUGCUGUGUCCACAUCAAAUGGGAAGGUGAAAAGAUUUGUCUGCAUCUAAUGGAACAGUGAAGGUCCUACCUUAAUUGAUGUCAGCACAAAUGCAGGUUCCUUACAUGAUGGUAGGAUAAACUUUGUGUACUCAGCUGAUGGUAGGAUGGAUGUCUUCUCACCUGAGGCAAGGAUGGACAGCCUCAUCUCAUGUUUCAGUAGGGUGAAAGCCAUGUCCUCACUUGGUGAGGGGGUGAAGUUCAUGUCCUCCAGUGAAGGAAUGGUGAAUGCUGAGUUCAACUGAGGGAAGGCAUGAGGCCAUGUCCCUAUCUGUAGAAGUUGAAUGCCAUUUCACAAUUGCAGAGUGAGCAUGCCAUACUCACAUGAUGGAAGGGUAAAAGCCUUGUCAUCAUCUGUUCAAAUGCUCAAUGCCCUUUUCAAUCCUAAUGGAAAAGUGAAUGUGCUGUCCACAUUUACUGGAAGUGUAAAUUGUCCUAUUCUCUGCUCAUGGAAUGGUAAUCACUCAUCCUUACCUGAGGAAUGGUAAGUGCCAUCUCCUCACUCAAGGGAAAGGUGACGUCUGUCCCCUCUGGACUGAAAGGCAAAUGAUGUGUCCUCACCUUAUAGAAGGUUGAAUGCCCACUUCUUACCAAGGGAAGUGUGAGCAUCCUGUCUCUAGUGGCCAAAUAAUUAUCACUCGGUGCUCAAAUGACGCUUCUCGUCACCUAUGGGAAUGGCAAAGUCUGUGACCUAAUAUGUGAGUACAGUGAAUGUCAUGUCCUCAAGGGAAGCUCCUGUCUUCAUGAGCUAGAAGGGUGGAUGAGGAGUACAAAGGAGAUUGGAGAGUGAAUGCUCUGUCUUCCUCUGAGGGAAGGUUGAAUGCUGGAAAGGUGAGGGACAUGUUUUGGAGGAUUGUUGGGGAAUUCAGGUACUCAUGUGUUGAUAUGGAGAAGAAUAAGUCAUCACAUGAUGGAAGAGUGAAUGCCGUGUUCCAUUGACAUUAAUGAUGACCCAUGUCCUGAAAUGAUAGAACUUGGGUGCUGUGCAUCCACACAGAACGGGAAUCCUAUCUGCAACUGAUGGAAGAGUGAAAUUCUGAUGAAAAUGAGAACACAAUUUCCACAUUUGAUGGAAGAGCAAACUCUGUGCACUCAGCUGGGGGAAGCUGGAAUGUUCUUUCCUCACCUAAGGGAAGAGUGGACGCCCUCACCUGUUUGUCAGUGUGGUGAAAGUUGUGUCCUCAUGAGGUGAGAGGGUGAAGGUCAUGCCUUCACCUGAGGAAGGGUAAGUGUUGCUUCCUCAAUGCCUUGUUCAUACGUAAGGGAAGAGUGAAUGCCAUGCACUCACCUAACAUAAGUGUAAUGCCAUUGUAUCUGAGAUGGUGGAGUUAAUGCCCUUUCCUCAUAUUAUGGAAAGGUAAAUGUCAUGCUUUUAUUGGGUUGUAUGAUGAAUGGCCCUUGAAAUCCUGGUGAAAGAGUAAACCUGCUACCUUCACUUGAGGAAAGCAUUAAUUCUCUGCUAUCCACUGUUGGAAAUGUAAUAGGUAAACUCCGUGUAGCUUUGUCUUCAGCCAAGGGAAGGACGAAUGCUAUGUCCUCACCUGGUACAUGUAUGAAUGCCAUUUCAUCAUCAAUGCCAUGUCUUCAUGUGGUCGAACAGUGACACACUUUUCAAUACUGUGGGAAGAGUAAACACACUAUCCUCAGCUGAGGGAAGUGUCAAUGCCCUGUUCUCUGCUGAUGGAAAAAUAAUCACUUCAAGUGUCCUGCGAGAUUGUGUACAACUGUCCUCAUCCAAUGGGUGAUUUCUGUGUCCUCACUGGAGAGAAGGGCAAACACCGUAUUGCUCCCGCACAGAAGUAUGAUCGCUCCUCCCUCCUCACGGAUAGAAGUGUGAACACCUUGUCUUCUCUUAACUGAAGAAUUGGUAUCCAGUAAUCACCUGACAGAAGGGGAUAUGCCUUCUACUCACUUGACGUAAGGAUGAAGACCACAUCCUAAUGUGAGAGUAAGUAAAUGCUGAGUCCUUAUGUGAAGUCAGGGUGAAGGUCCUGUCCUCACAUGAUGGAAAAGUGAAGGCUGAAUCAUCAGGUUACAGUGGGUGACUUGUCCCCUCCUGAGGAAAGGUUGAGUGUCCUGUGCUCAUCUGAUGGAAGGGUGAGGGUUAUGUUUUCACGUGUGUGUUGGGUGAAUGAAUGCAGGGUCCUCACAGGAUGACAGGGUGAAGGCCGUGUUGUCACGUGAAGGAAGAGUGAAUGACCUGUCCUCUGCAUGGAAGGGUGAACUCAGUCCCCUCAUAUAACAGAAGUUCAAGUGCUGUGUCCUCAACAAAUGGGAAGGUGCAUUCCACGAUCCCAUGCGAUGCGAGCAUGAAGGUCCUGUGCUCAGCUGUGGAAGUGUGAAUACAAGUUUCAUCACCUGUUGGAAGGCUGAGUGAGCUCUAUGUACUCAGCUGAUGGAAGGGGGGAUGUCCUUUCCUCACCUAAGGGAAAGGUGGACACCUUGAUCUCACUUGUCACUAAAGUGAAAGCUACUUCUUCACAUGGUGGCAAAGGUGAAGGCCAUGCCUUCCUGCAAAGGAUCAAUGAAUGCCCUGUCCUCGAUUGAGGGAAGAGAGAGUGCUAUGUCCUCACCUGAGAGAAGUGUGAGUGCCAUUUCAUCUUGUGAUGGUAGAGCUAAGGACUCUCCUCAGAGCAUGGAAGGGUGAUCACCUUGUCCUUCUUUGUGGCAUGAUCAAGUCCCAUUUAAAACCUGAGUAUGGUUCAAUGCACUGUCUUCACCUGGUGGAAGUGUGAACAGCAUGUGCCCGAGUGACAGAAGGGCGAGAUCCCUAUCUUCAGAUGCAUGCAUGGUGAAAUCUGUCUUCCUCUGGAAGAACAGUGAAUGCCCUCACCUGACCUGACUAACGGAUCAUUGCAGUGUCCUAACUUGAUGGAAUCAUGUAAUCAUGUCAUAUUCUCAUGUGAACACCAUGUUCUCACCUGACAGAAGGCUCAAUGCCCUUCCUUACUUGGUGGAAGCUGGAACACCCUGUUCUUUCCUGAUGGAAGGGUAAAUACCAUGCCCUCACUUGUCAAAUUGGUGAAUUCAGUUUUGUCACCUGAGGGUAGGUUAACAACCUCUUGACACCUGACUGAAGAGCGAAUGCCAUGUCCUCAUGAUAAUGUAGGGUGAAGGUCAUGUAUUCAAGUGAAGGAACUGUGAACACCAUGUCCUCACAUAACAAAAGUGCCUUCUCAUCUGAAGGGAUGACUGCCUUGUCCUUGGCCUCUGGAAGGUGAGUAUCUUGCCCUCAUGUGAUGAACGGUGACUGCAGUAUCCUCGUGUGAAUCUACGGUGAACACCAUGUUCUCAACCAAUGGAAUGGUGAACUUCCUGUCUUCAAGUGACAGAAGGAUGAACUAUGUGACAUGUGAUGUAAGGGUGGGCUUCAAGUCCUCAUGUGACAGAAGUGAAUGCCAUGUCCCUGACAUGAGAGAAAUGCCAACACUGUAUCUGUACUUGAUGGAAUAGUGAAUGCCCUGUCUUCAUGUGGUGGAAGUUUGAUCAUCAUGUUCUCAUGGGACAAAACCAUGGACUCUGUUCAUGUGCCAUUUUCCACUGCCUUUUUUAGGCACAUCAGCAGGAAACUGGAUUGGAAGUAGAGCAGCCAGGAUUCAAGACUCAAAAAGGCACUCAUAUGGGAUGCUAGCAUGACAGGUGGAAGCUUAGCCUGCUGUGCCUUAACACUGGCCCCAAUAAAUAAAUCUUUAAAAAGAUUUUAUUUUACUAUUGUGACAAGACUGAUAAGAGUUUCAAUGAUAAGCCCCAAGUUACAGUUUUACAUAAUUUUCUCACUUUUUUCUCCCCUAAAGAGAUUUAGAAACAGGACUAUUAAAAAUAUGCUUGUCGGUGGCCGAAUGGCUACUCACUGCCCCUCUCUCUAUCUCCCUCUCUGACACUCUGCCUUUCAAGUAAAAUAGUACCCAGGAAGAAAAGAUGCAUGGUUCUACCAUAUUGAAAUUUGAUUCAGGUAGAAAACAAUAUGCCCAAAUUCUUUAUGAAAAAUGAAGUUAUCAUAACUAAGGUUGGGCUUCUGAGAGGUAAGAGGGCAGCACAAGGAUUUCUUAAAGCAGCACAGAAUGACAAAGCCAAGGGACUGUACAUAGCCCAACAUCUUUACAGGAAACUUAGGUCAACAAUCCAAGAGUGAAAUCAGAAGGAUUAAGUAAUGGAAAAGCAACAUAAACAGGUUUCCAAAAUGAACAGAGAAGCCAAGAAUCUGGUCAAGGAGAUAAAGGCAGGGUCUUAGAAACAGCCGAGAACUGUGUUCUCUUGAUACCGUUUUGGAUGAAGUUCUCUGAAUAUGAGGUUGGAAGUUCCUAUCAUGAAAACUGAAAAAACAAUGGUUAAGAGUGAUUUCAUUUAUUAAAUGUUAUUACAGACUCUUUCAGGAUGAAAUUAUAACCUCCUUUCUUCAUUUGCUUAAUUUUUGAUGUUGACCAAUCUCUCUUUUAUAAAAUAAUAAGACUUGUACAUAAUAUUGUUUUGUUUAAUAUUCUCCCUGGCAAUAGGAAAUACUGACAAAGGUAGAUCAACCAACCCCUUCAUUUGUUUUCCUUUUAAUUUCUGAGUCUGUGAAAUUUUAAAUCUGGAAACAAUGGAUUGGCCCUGAGCAUCCACUUGUAUUUACAGUUUGUUUUUGUCAGGCAGUUAGGAUGAUAAUGUGAAGUUUGGCUAAAAAGAACAAAAUGGAAACUAAUCAAUUCAGCUAGCAAAUGUAAUAUCAAUAACUGAGAAAAAUACUCAUUUUACCAAACAAUGUCACAAAUACUUAAAUACUCUAAUUGUAAAAGCUAACAUGAAAAGAGUUAUGGAUACUGCAUUGGGUUCUUUUCAUUUUGUUCUGUUUUACUGCUGUUUACUAACUGCUUUGAUGAAUGCCAAGUCUAUAGCUUCAUUGUUCUGUGAGUAGUACAUGUUAACUUACGAGAUUAAAAAAAAAUACAGGAAAAGAGAAAAGUCAAAAUUAAUAAUUUCAAUAUUUAAAUUUAGAAGAUUUCAAAAUAUAAUCAUUACCAAUGAAUAUUUUUAAUGUACACAAUAACUCUCAAUAAUUCAAUCUCAAAUAAAACAUCUAAUGCAUAAAAUGAUUAUUUUAAUAAAGCCAGGUGAGUGAGUAGUGCUAGGUAUUUAUUUGAACCAAUGUAUUGAUUUUUUUGAGGAUUAAAAUGAAUCAUGAAUAUUAACUGUCUUCCUAUCUACAUUGCCAACUUUUUUUAAAAAAGAUUUACUUAUGUAUUUUAAAGGCAGAGUUACAGAGAGGCAAAGGCAGAGAGAGAAAGGUCUUCCAUCUGCUGGUUCACUCCCCAAAUAGCUACAACAGCUGGAGCUAGGCCCAUCUGAAGCAAGGAGCCAGGAGCUUCCUGCAGGUCUCUCAUGUAGGUGCAGGGGCCCAGGCAUUUGGGCUGUCUUCUACUGCUUUCCCAGGCUAUAGCAGAGAGCUGGACUGCAAGUGGAGCAGCAGGGACUUGAACAGGUACCCAUCUGAGGUGCCGGCGCUGUAGGCAGCAGCUUUACCUGCUAUGCCACAGCACUGGCCCCUACUAUGGCAACAUUUUAAGAGGCAGUGACUAACCAUUUGGCCCCAGACAAGUGUAUUUUUAAUAAUCUGUGGGGAGCAACUGAGACUAGACUAAAUUACUGGAACUAGGACUAAUUCUAUGCAUCUGAUCUCCCACAAUAUGGCACUGAGAGACAGCAAACAACUUCUACACAGCUGCCUCACCAGUUUCACUGAUAAGCUGCAGCCUGAUUGGAGGAGAGCAGCAUGCUCGGCAUGUGGGCAGCAGAGUUGCGAUUGGUGGAAGAGGACUAUAAAGGAGGAGAGAAACAACAUGCACCGGGGAACAUCUGAGGAACAUCUGAGCAACCCCCGAGAGAGCCGGCCAGUGGUGUGCUGCUCCUCCACGGAAGUGGGGAAAGCGGCGGGGGUGCCGCCCCUCCGCGGAGGCGGGGGAGGGGGGGGGGCCUGGCAGCUAACCCAGGACGGCGUUGUUCCUCCGCGAGUGAGGGAAUGGCAGCUAACCCGGGAAGGGCCGGGCAAAGAGAACAGCACAGGGUCCAGUGUCGUCCCUCCGCAAAUGGGGGAGCGACAAUAAUCCUGUUUCUAAAUCUCUUUAGGGAGGAAAAAUGAGAAAAUAGAUGAUAUAAAACUCUAAGUUGGGACUUAUCAUUGAAAUUCCUAUCACUCAUGUCACAAUAGUAAAAUAAAACCAUGUGUAAUUUCAUAUCCCUAAGGGAAUAAUUUGAACUGUUUAUCAAAAUCUAAUAGUUAUCUUCAAUUUUUAUUAAGUGUAAGUAUGCUAAAAAAUAGAGUUCCAAUUGAUGCUGCCAGAUAGUCUCUCAUUUUUAUUGAGCUACCAAUAUUACAGAUGUGUGUAUAUAUAUACAUAUACAUAUCAAAAAAAUAUGACUUAGAAUAUUUGUAUGGCAUAAAACAUAACAUUUCUGCAAGAGCUAAAUUAGAAGCCCCAAAAUAACAUGUAAUUUUUUUAGAUGCCUCUGAUCCAAAUUAAGAAAGCAGCAUGUUAAGCAUAAAUCUUAAAGUAUGAACUACCUUUGGAAAUAAAAUAAAUUCUGGGUGACUAAGUUGUUUUAAAAAUAACCUUAUAUUCAUUAUUUUUUAAAAAAAUAUUUUAAGAAUUCUUAAACUAGCUCACCAUAAUACUUUCAGUCUGAUAAGUGCCAAGUGUCACCAAAAAGAACUUAGUUUAUCAAAUAACAUUUAUAUUAAAUCAUUUCUUUUUUUGAAUAAUUAUGCUCCUAAUCUGAUGCCAAAGUCUGAGGCAGAAAGGAAAUCUUUUCCCUGCACAAUUUCCCCCAGCAGCCAGCCACUGCCAGCAGCAAUAGGUUAUUAAUAGACAUUCAGUGACUAUUACAGUAUCACUGGGAUGGGCAGCACAGAACCUGAGGUCAAAAAAGAGGUCAUUUAAGGCCAUUUAGCUCAGUAGCUUUAUAAUAAACUUUGCUAAAUAUCCACUCCAUAGAUUUUGAAGUAUUUAAAAAUAAUUCCCAGGAGUCUACAUUACAAUUUGAGUCAGAGCUUCUAUCCCCAGUAUUAGUUUAGUUUAGGAUAGCCUUCCUACCCCCAAGUGUGCUAUUUCUGGUCUGCCUCAUACCUGCCCAAAUGUGGAAACCAACUUUCCUCCUUAAUUUCUACAAAAUUCACUCAUUUAUUUUUGUUCUAACAAAUUCUGCUAAAGAUUUGGUACAUUAGAAGUAUUUUUAUCACAGAAACACAAACAACUUAAAACUGAAUAUUAGGCCUUCAUUUUUCUCAAGUACUCCCCCAUUCCUCCACCUCCCCUUCUCCUUCUAAUUCCCCAUUUUUGGAAACAUAUAAAUGGCACUCUAGCCUCUCACCAAGCUAUUUUAUACCUCAUUCUAGCUUCCUCUUCUCUUCAGUUAUGCUAUAUCCCUGCCUUGUUUGUCCCUCAAGGGAAUAAACUAUAAAUAACUCACAUUUUUAAUGCAGACUAGCUCAAAUUCCUCAUAAUGGCAGUGCCUGCCUGGAUAAACAGCAUCAAAAAAUCAUUCCUUUGGGAUUCAGAGGUGCUUCUCAGCUUCAAGGCUCUCGCACAAAAAUCAAAAGUACCUAGAGUGGCAAAUCUCUAAGCUACUGUGGCUCAACUAUCUCACGGUGAAUGGUGAUGGUAGAGAAGAAGUCUCUGGAGAUGACUCCAGGCACUUAGCCCCUCUCAAGGAUGCACAGGCCUCUGGAUGCUGAAGGGAAUGGUGUCAAGACUCCUGAGCCCUGGAUACGCUUUUCAUACAUAUUCAUCUGAGUCAAGCACUUUUCUCUCUCGCUUAUACAUCCAGCCAUGCUUGGGCAAGUCAGUCUUAAAGGUUGUCCCUGAACAUUCUACUAAGUUCUACAGCAAUUUUCUCAGAUACAUCAUACUUUUUCUUUAUUUUUCCACUAGCUACCAAAAAAUAAAAACCCAGAAGAAUAAUUUCCACUUUCAAUCACAAAAGUAUACCAGAAUCUAGAUUUCACCUACUGCCAUGAACUACUAGAAAGCUAGAAAAGCUAUGGAAAAUAAGAACUAUUUUCAGAUACUGGACCAUAGUAGGAUGGUGUUGUGACACCACAGAGAAAGAAACAAGGGAGGUAAGCCAUAUCAUUCUCCAUGUAGUUUGCCUCCAGACAACCGCCAGGCAGCAGCAUAGGCAAUGGGGCUUCAAAAGAGCCAGAAAGCUCAGAUUUCAAAGAGGCAGAAGUGGUUGAUAUUUCCAGAGAAGAGCCCUGAGAGACAGACUAUAGAGAAAGCUCCAGAAAUUUAUCUUGUGGUAGCUUUUAACCUGUUGCAUACCAUUGUCCUAUACAUAUGGGAUACUUAUAAAAACAAAUUGAGAGAUAAAUAUACUAUUUAUUGUAACUUUAAAAUACAUAUUCUAUUUUUAGAGUUCUUUUCUUCUGAGAAAAGUAAUAGGUGAAUAAUUAGAGCAUCGGAAAAUAUUUUUAAAUUAAUUGUGAAAACAGCAUAAACUUAAGUAUAAGUUACUUACUAAAUGUUUAACUGAUCAAAAGAUUAUUUAUACAACUGAUAAUAAAUACAUUCAUGAAAGUGUUUUCUGGAUGUAGACUGCCAUUUUACUUCAAGGAAUGUACUACAUUUCAAAUCAUUGACUUUGCAAAAUAUCUGUCCCAUAAAAAGGACAUGGGGACAACGUACAGCGCAUAGUAAUAUGUAGAGUACCCACUACUGCCUGACAAACUCGAAUGUGUUGCCAUUUGCGGUUAUUUGUUACGAGCUAUGAGCUUUGUGCUUGAGAGUAAGGUAAUUCUGCAAAUAUUUAAGGCAGUAGGGAAUCCACAGUCACACUCCGUUUUUUUCCAACAGUCUAUUCCCUAGUUAUGACUUGCUGGUGUACCUUCAGAAUAGUGGAUUUCAAUAUAUCUCCUGGAUACCUAGAGGGAAAACAAUACCAGUGUCCUCUGAAACAAACACUGAUAAAAAAAAAAAAAAGAAAAGAGAGUUGUCUGAUUAUAAAUGUGAUACAAAGAGUGAAUUUUUUUUUGUAAAAUGGUUCAGUAAUAAAUGUGCAUUGUUCGAACAAACUGUGGCACAGAGGAACCACUUGGCAAAGUUCAACAAUGAACAAAAGAAAUAAAGA
This is a non-coding RNA of Oryctolagus cuniculus (rabbit), 16284 nucleotides long. NCBI's taxonomy places the organism in Eukaryota, Metazoa, Chordata, Mammalia, Lagomorpha, Leporidae. The record is from RefSeq and is a predicted model, not a curated record.